AGUGAACGCUGGCGGCGUGGAUUAGGCAUGCAAGUCGAGCGAUCCCGCAAGGGAUAGCGGCAAAAGGGUGAGUAACGCGUAAGCAAUCUGCCCACAAGUCGGGGAUAGCAUCGUGAAAACGGUGGUAAUACCCGAUGUUAUCGGUAGCCUGCAUGGGCAGCCGAUCAAAGACGGGGACCGUAAGGCCUGUCACUUGAGGAUGAGCUUGCGUACCAUCAGCUAGUUGGUAGGGUAAUGGCCUACCAAGGCUAAGACGGUUAGCUGGACUGAGAGGUUGACCAGCCACAUUGGGACUGAGACACUGCCCAGACUCCUACGGGAGGCUG
This 326-nucleotide ribosomal RNA is filed under the name uncultured Omnitrophica bacterium. Its description in RNAcentral is "bacterial SSU rRNA". It matches the Rfam family "Bacterial small subunit ribosomal RNA", at positions 29 to 351 of the family's 1533-position model. Lineage: Bacteria; Pseudomonadati; Candidatus Omnitrophota. The record is from RNAcentral.